GCCCGGGUGGCUCAGUCGGUUAAGUGUCUGACUUCAGCUCAGGUCAUGAUUUCACGGUGUGUGAGUUCAAGCCCCGCAUCGGGCC
RNAcentral lists this transfer RNA (85 nucleotides) under Felis catus (domestic cat). It matches the Rfam family "tRNA". Rfam says of the family: Transfer RNA (tRNA) molecules are approximately 80 nucleotides in length. Their secondary structure includes four short double-helical elements and three loops (D, anti-codon, and T loops). The record is from Rfam by way of RNAcentral. Lineage: Eukaryota; Metazoa; Chordata; Mammalia; Carnivora; Felidae.